CUUUCUUAAGUAAAGUUCCAUAACAGUUUGUAUAUUGUAAUUGAGAAAGUGAUUACCUUGAAAGUUGGGAGGCAGAUUUGUUGACCACGACAGUUACUUCGUUUUGGUGUACAGUAAUUGGGAAAGUAAUUACCUUGCAAAGCUGGGAGGCAGUGUUGUUGCUGAGACGCUGGUCAAAUGCCAGCAGCAAGCAAACCCAGAUGUUCACAGCUCACAGUUACCACCUCAAACUUUUCAAACAAAUCUUACAAGAACAUUUGGCAAAGUGAUUGGCUUGCAAACUUAGGAGACAGUCUAGUUGCCCACAACAGUUUUGUUAUAGAGUAAUUGGAAAAUUGGGUACCUUGCAAGGCUGACAGGCAGUCUCGUUGCUGGGAGGCGGUCUUGUUGCUGGGGCUGUGGCAGAAUGCCAGCAGCAAGCAGACCCAGAUGUUCACAGUCCUACUUAACACCUUAAACUUUGCAAACAAAUCUCACAGAACAAUUAGCAAACUGAUUGGCUUGUAACACUGAAAUGUAGCCUUGUACUGUCUGGUUUAAAUUUCCUACUGAGAAACAAAGAGGAACUUUACUGUUUGGAAGGGAGUAAAAACACUGUACCAUCUAAUCUUAAAAGUUUUAAUUACAAACAACAGCUCUGGAAUAAAAUGACAUCCAACGCUAAACACACCUAUUUUUUUCUAAAUAUCAGCUGAACACAUACAUAGAAAAUAUAAGGGGGGGGGGGGGCACUUACCUUGGCUGAAUCAAGAGUUGAGGUAUAAAAGUCUGCUGUAGUUAACGCCUUAUAAAGACAGACAAAGAGGUGUGAAACGCGACUACAACACAUCUUAAAAGUUUCAAUUACAAACGAUACCACUGGAAUAAAAUCACAGUCAUUUCGUAGAUAUCAGCGUCAAAACACAGAAAAGCAGUUUCAAAGGUCAAUUUCAAAACCGGAGCAGGGACAGAAACGCUUGCCGUAGCUGAAUGUGCGCUAACUGGCUUUAGCAUCGUGCCGAACGUGCCGAAACAAAGAAAUCGAUAAAGAAACACAUAAAAAAAAUCACUUUCAAAGCUAAAUUUCAAACCAGAGAGAGAUACGCUUACCUUGUCAUAGUAAAUCACUUUCAAAAUCAAUUUCAAACCGGGAGACGCUUAAUAUCCGCUAACUAGCCAGCAACAAAAUACCACGAGACAAAGAGAGGUGUGAAACCCGACUGCAAUGAAGAUAUUUUUUGAGAGUCGCAUCUUAAAAGUUUCAAUUACAAACGAUACCAGUGGAAUGAAAUCACAGUCAUUUUGUAGAUAUCAGCGUCAAAACACAGAAAAGCAGUUUCAAAGGUCAAUUUCAAAACAGGAGCAGGGACAGAAACGCUUGCCGUAGCUGAAUGUGCGCUAACUGGCUUUAGCAUCGUGCCGAACGUGCCGAA
Molecule: long non-coding RNA, 1412 nt
Organism: Oreochromis aureus
Lineage: Eukaryota; Metazoa; Chordata; Actinopteri; Cichliformes; Cichlidae
Source: Ensembl